UGUAUAUGUAUUAAAUAAAUAAAUAAAAUCUUUUUAAAAAAUUCAACAUAGGGGUAAAUAAUCAUGUCUGUUUCCCUUCCUAGGAGAGAUGUUUAGAAUCGCUGCAGAAGUAGAACGUGGUGACGACACCUUUUUGGUGCGUUUGCGAGGGACUUAUCUGCUGGAAAGAAAUACUUGACGUGUUUAUCUUCUUUCAUCGUGGAAAGAACCCGAGUUAGGUGUUAUUUGGAAGCCCCCUCUCGGAGCCCGGAAGCAGAGACUUUCUGUGAUGGAUGAUGGUUUGUGUAUUUUGAGAUCUGUAGCGUUAGGGAGAGAAAGGCAUUGACGUUAUUUAGAUUUUCCUUUAUUGCCUUUACUUUUCCAGGCAAAACCAAGAUUGAAUGCGCCUCUUGGUGCUGUCAUUUCCGUAAGUCAGUGGGCCAUGCUCGAGGUCCCGUAGGCCCGGGAUCCUGUCUGCUCCCUGAGAUUCCCCUGCUUCCCCCGCACCGCCCCCCCACCCGACUCCGGAGCCCCCAGGGUCUCGAGGGGCAUCACAGGCAGUGUCUUGGCUGUGACGUGCUGUGCUUACCAGCUUCACCACCUCCUUAGAUUUGGUUCUGUGGCCAGGAAAGUCUGAGACCCGGGCUCCGGCUGCCCCCCAACUCACGGUUCCUCUCAAGCUCUGUUCCCUGCCCCCCCACCCCGGGAUUACCUGGGGGGUGAUCUGUUACCUCCCCCCAAGGGAGAGGGCGCUUUCGGCCUAAUCACAUCCAAUUUGCAUUCCAGGGCCCAGUGCUGAGAUCCAGCCUAGGGAGCUAGAGACCCUGCCAGGAAGGCUCCAGCGCCCACAGCCCCCCCCCCCCCCCCCGAUCACGAAUCCUGAGGUGCUGAGACAGCUGGUGACAUAGUUGCUUCCCUGCCUCCUUACACCACGUCCAGCUGCUCUGAGGGACAGGCUUGAGCAAGGCAGAAAGGGCCCCGGCGACCGGAGAGCCGAGACCAGCCAACUCGGCCGCUCCAGAUGAGGAAGGACUCUGCACUUUCACCCGACCUGGGUUAGGUUUGCUGCUGGCCUUGUUUCCCAACACCGAGACUGGUCCUGUUUGUGACAUGAGGGUGCAGAAGUCCUUUACCCCCUUUGGGCACCGUGUUCAAAGGACAAACAGGCUGUCUACGGAUCGCCGGGAAAGCUCGGGGCUCUCAGAGGGUCAGGGGGCAAGAGGUCAUGGUCAUGGCUCAUGGCAGACACCCAGGGGUCCUACAAACUCAGUAAUCACAACUAUGAGGACCCGGAGAAGAAAUACGCACUUUCAUUAAUCACCCAAGGAGCCUCCUCAUGUGUGUCGCUCAUGUGUUCAGGAAAGAAGCCUUGUGCACCUGCCGUGUGCCCGCACCAGACUGGAUGGUCGGGCGGCUCCGUGGGGAGGCGACAGGAUGGAGUGCGGUGGCUGUGUCUCCUGCUGUCACACGGCCCCGGGUCGCAGGGUCACAUGCGGGAGGUUCGGAGGGCCUAGAGAGCAAGAUGGAGUCACUCACGUCAAGCAAUGACACAAGGAGUAAAGGGCACUGUAGCUAUGAGACAUCGCCGAGAGCAGCGCCAGCGGACGACGUCCCAGAACCGGCGUGGAGCAGGAGCGGAGGGCGUCUGCGGGGCCCCAGCCUGGUUCCGUCCCUCCAAACAGGGAGGACUCUUGCAGCAAACCGUCUGCCUCUUCAGACAGGAGCCCUCUGUCCGACCGCUUCGAAAAGGCUGCUGCCGCGGAGGGCUCUGCCGGACGGGACGGGACAGAGGCCUUGUCCCAGUGGUGACCACAGACGUCUGGCAGCCAGGGUUUGUGCACUUCCCGCAAGGGCAGUGCUAGCUUGCUGGGUGACUUCCUGUCUGUUCUGCUCGGUGUGCCGUCUACGAAACCAAGCUAAUCGUGGGGUGAAACAUCAUGGAGUUUGGAAUCCCGAACCCGCUCUGGAAUUCUGUUAACCUCGCUUUGUGACCGAAUACAGCGGACGUUGUGGAAAGCCCCAGCUCCGGUGUGGCCUUCAGAGCUCGCUCCCCACAGAGGUGCCGUGGGCUCAAACCUGGGAGGAGAGGAGACUGGGCAGAGGACGCCCAGCCGUGGCCUCAGGCCACCCCCAGGAACCCUGAAGUCAGCAGGGCCUUGCAGGCUUGUCCUGACUCGCUCCAGGAUGGUCCAGCCCUUGUCCCCAUGCUGAUCUGUCUGUGGCCAUUGGCUGCCCUCUGGGCAGAGUGGCUCGCUCUCCAGAGCUGGGGCCGUCUCAAAAAAUGCUUUUUGCUGCAAAGCUGUCCGCAGAUAUUCCCAGGAGCAGGGGGCCCUACGGGGAGGAACUGUCACGAGCCCAUCCCGCGGAUGAGAAGGCUGAGGCAGAGAAGGUGAGGAGCCUGUCCUCAUUCAUACCACCUGAGGAUGUGACUGUCCGUCCUCGCAUCCCGCUCCCGCCAUCCCACUGUGCAGUUACGUGUCCAGCUCGCUUGUGUGGGGCAGCACUCCCCCCAACCCCGGAACGCAGGCUCCACCGCAGCAGGGACGGUCAAGUUCACUGCUGCAUCCUCAGUGCCCCAUACGACACCCGUGACCCAGCAGCAGUUCCGUGAACCUUUACAAAGACAGACAUCCCAGAGGGCGGCAGCGGGCGUGCUGGGUGGUGGUUUCUGGAAGGCUCAGCAUGUGAGGUUUCCUGGGGAAUUCCUCAGACACCAAGCCAACCUGAGGUCACAUACGUGGGUUUCUGCUGGGGACUGCUCCUGACCCCACCAUGGCACGUGUCUUGGAGAGUCAGAGAAGGAUGCUUGGCCGUGUGGUGUCCUUCACUUAUCAAUGUCUCCCUUCUUUCACACGCUCAGCCUCUCACAGCUGUCCAGCGGGUGUUCCCCGAGCACUGCGCUGUGCCCAACACCAGGCCGGGAUGGCACGCUAGCGACCGACCAUUCCGCGCCUGUCCUCGUGGACCUUGGCAGUGAGGCUUUCAGAGCCUGUUCGAAGCCACUUAGUACCAAGCAGAUGAUCUCCCUAGACCGGAAUGUCGGAGGAGACAGAAAGGGAACCACUGAUGUAAGGCUUGUGAGCCUGAAGUUGUGGCCUGUGGAUAUCCCAGAGAGUCAACAAAAAACACACCCCCCCCACCGUGAAUAUCACGCAGAGGACCCACGAAAGCUGUGAGAACUACAGUGUCUCCGAGAGGGGCUGCAGGGACUUCGAUUUGGAUCACAUCUCUCAGUCAAGGUGAGAAUCUGAUCAAAGGGGGAAAUCGUUAAAUAGAAUACCAAGGGCCCCAAAGGGUGUCAUUGGGCCAAGUCACCAAACCAGGAUUUACUACCCUAAUUGCAAUUUCAACUUUCCCUAGAAAUUUGUCUUUUUUUUUAAAAAAAGAUUU
Mustela erminea (ermine) is the source of this 3369-nucleotide long non-coding RNA. RefSeq lists it as uncharacterized. Lineage: Eukaryota; Metazoa; Chordata; Mammalia; Carnivora; Mustelidae. The record is from RefSeq and is a predicted model, not a curated record. The transcript has 4 exons.